GACGAACGCUGGCGGCGUGCUUAACACAUGCAAGUCGAACGAUGAAGCUGGAGCUUGCUCUGGCGGAUUAGUGGCGAACGGGCGAGUAACACGUGAGAAAUCUGCCCUUGACUCUGGGAUAACUGCGGGAAACUGUAGCUAAUACCGGAUACUUUCCUUGGUGGGCAUCCACUGGGGAAGAAAGAACUUCGGUCAAGGUUGAUCUCGCGGCCUAUCAGCUUGUUGGUGAGGGAAUGGCUCACCAAGGCGACGACGGGUAGCCGGCCUGAGAGGGUGACCGGCCACACUGGGACUGAGACACGGCCCAGACUCCUACGGGAGGCAGCAGUGGGGAAUAUUGCACAAUGGGCGCAAGCCUGAUGCAGCAACGCCGCGUGAGGGAUGAAGGCCUUCGGGUUGUAAACCUCUUUUAGCAGGGAAGAAGCGAAAGUGACGGUACCUGCAGAAAAAGCACCGGCUAACUACGUGCCAGCCGCCGCCGUAA
RNAcentral lists this ribosomal RNA (484 nucleotides) under uncultured bacterium. Its description in RNAcentral is "partial 16S ribosomal RNA". It matches the Rfam family "Bacterial small subunit ribosomal RNA", at positions 28 to 523 of the family's 1533-position model. The record is from RNAcentral.